UACGAAGGGGGCUAGCGUUGUUCGGAAUCACUGGGCGUAAAGCGCACGUAGGCGGAUUUGUUAGUCAGGGGUGAAAUCCCGGGGCUCAACCUCUGAACUGCCUUUGAUACUGCAAAUCUCGAGUCCGGAAGAGGUGAGUGGGAUUCCUAGUGUAGAGGUGAAAUUCGUAGAUAUUAGGAAGAACACCAGUGGCGAAGGCGGCCCACUGGUCCGGUACUGACGCUGAGGUGCGAAAGCGUGGGGCGCAAACACG
This 253-nucleotide ribosomal RNA is filed under the name uncultured bacterium. Its description in RNAcentral is "partial 16S ribosomal RNA". It matches the Rfam family "Bacterial small subunit ribosomal RNA", at positions 524 to 776 of the family's 1533-position model. The record is from RNAcentral.